Molecule: non-coding RNA, 503 nt
Organism: Pelobates cultripes (western spadefoot toad)
Lineage: Eukaryota; Metazoa; Chordata; Amphibia; Anura; Pelobatidae
Source: the annotation of a GenBank genome assembly
CUUUGAUGUAAAUAGAUCGCCUAGGAACAGAAUCUUCUCCAAAUUCUUGAGUAGACCACUAAAGUGGAAUCUGGUUUAGCAGCUAAGAUAAAAAUGACAUUUGAGACCUUUAGAACUCAGGAUCUGGUGUUUCGAUACCAAGCCAUAGUUUGAAUCUUAGAAGGGUCUGAAGAGGUACCUGGUUGUGUUCCAGUAUGUUUACUACCAGAGGAAAUUGUCAACAAUCUCUUCUUGAUUUUUAGGAAUCAAAAACCAUCUUCUCCUUAUUCACAAUCUAAGGAUCACAAUUAUUUUUGCUUUGCCAGCUAUGCUUUAUUGUUGAAUAUGAGAAACGAGGAUGACUGAAGGAAAGUUGUAGACCUUCUUUCAGGAAGUAAAAGCUUCUGAUCGUCUUCUUGUUUAAUUCCAUAAGCUGUUUAAGGAAGAAUUUAUUCUAUUCCCUCAAGUAAGAAUGUUCUUAUGUAAAAGUCUCAUACAUGAUUUGGACCAGUGGACUGCUGGAA